RNAcentral lists this long non-coding RNA (677 nucleotides) under Marmota monax (woodchuck). Lineage: Eukaryota; Metazoa; Chordata; Mammalia; Rodentia; Sciuridae. The record is from RNAcentral.
CAGAAGACCAGCUCCUCUAGUCUAACCCUGGUCUCUGGCGGCACUGAAUUACAUCUCGAUGCACACAGCAACUUGCCAGUGAUGCAGGAAGCACAGGAGCCUAUGAGAGACUGAAGAAAAUGAGACUGGUCAGAUGUCCUGCUUAAAACCAGAAGGAAAAGGCAGGGAAACAGCAGACCAUAGAGCUUAAUGCUAAGACCUUGAACUACUCAAAAGAAUUAGAGAUUUAAAAAAACAAUAAUAAGGUGUGAUUUUUAGAAACCAGUUUGUGUUUGCUUAAAGAAGGCAUGUCAAGACCAUGGGGUAUUUAAUAGGUUUGGUUUCUAGAGGAGAGGGGCCUCACCAUGGUAACCUCAUCACCAUCAGCUUCACCUCCUUCAACAUCAUCUGGGUUGGCCUGGGCCGGGGCCCGUCCAUGGUGCUCAGUAGACACUGCCUCCUUUGACCCUUAGCACCAGCCAUUCAAGGUCAUGGUCAUGGCCUCUCAAAAACCACAUUGAAAAAGUUUCUCAACUUGGUGCACAAAAAUGAAAUAGAGUUGUUAGUGUGAUCGCAGGAUUUGUAACUGCUGGGGGUGGGUAAUGUCAAGUAAUAAAGGGUUUUUCACAUGACAUAGUAUAUAGAUGGGGACAGAUGAUCCUGGAAGCAGUAGAAUCAAGAGUGGAAACAUUCACUAA